This 252-nucleotide ribosomal RNA is filed under the name uncultured bacterium. RNAcentral's name for it is "partial 16S ribosomal RNA". It matches the Rfam family "Bacterial small subunit ribosomal RNA", at positions 524 to 776 of the family's 1533-position model. The record is from RNAcentral.
UACGUAGGUCCCGGGCGUUGUCCGGAUUUAUUGGACGUAAAGCGAGCGCAGGUGGUUUAUUAAGUCUGGUGUAAAAGGCAGUGGCUCAACCAUUGUAUGCAUUGGAAACUGGUAGACUUGAGUGCAGGAGAGGAGAGUGGAAUUCCAUGUGUAGCGGUGAAAUCCGUAGAUAUAUGGAGGAACACCGGUGGCGAAAGCGGCUCUCUGGCCUGUAACUGACACUGAGGCUCGAAAGCGUGGGGAGCAAACAGG